RNAcentral lists this ribosomal RNA (1444 nucleotides) under Vibrio alginolyticus. RNAcentral's name for it is "bacterial LSU rRNA". It matches the Rfam family "Bacterial large subunit ribosomal RNA", at positions 328 to 2080 of the family's 2925-position model. Lineage: Bacteria; Pseudomonadati; Pseudomonadota; Gammaproteobacteria; Vibrionales; Vibrionaceae. The record is from RNAcentral.
GUUAGACGAACAGCCUGGAAAGGCCGACGAUACAGGGUGAUAGUCCCGUAGUUGACGACGUGUGUUCAGUGAAAUCGAGUAGGGCGGGACACGUGAUAUCCUGUCUGAAUAUGGGGGGACCAUCCUCCAAGGCUAAAUACUACUGACUGACCGAUAGUGAACCAGUACCGUGAGGGAAAGGCGAAAAGAACCCCUGUGAGGGGAGUGAAAUAGAACCUGAAACCGUGUACGUACAAGCAGUAGGAGCAGGCUUGUCCUGUGACUGCGUACCUUUUGUAUAAUGGGUCAGCGACUUAUAUUCAGUGGCAAGGUUAACCAUCUAGGGGAGCCGUAGGGAAACCGAGUCUUAACUGGGCGUUCAGUCUCUGGAUAUAGACCCGAAACCAGGUGAUCUAGCCAUGGGCAGGUUGAAGGUUGAGUAACAUCAACUGGAGGACCGAACCGACUAAUGUUGAAAAAUUAGCGGAUGACUUGUGGCUAGGGGUGAAAGGCCAAUCAAACCUGGAGAUAGCUGGUUCUCCCCGAAAGCUAUUUAGGUAGCGCCUCGGACGAAUACUACUGGGGGUAGAGCACUGUUAAGGCUAGGGGGUCAUCCCGACUUACCAACCCUUUGCAAACUCCGAAUACCAGUAAGUACUAUCCGGGAGACACACGGCGGGUGCUAACGUCCGUCGUGGGUAAACCGAAGCUGCGGCAAUGCACUUUAGUGCAUUGGGUAGGGGAGCGUUCUGUAAGCGGUUGAAGGUGUGUGGUAACGCAUGCUGGACGUAUCAGAAGUGCGAAUGCUGACAUGAGUAACGAUAAAGGGGGUGAAAAACCUCCUCGCCGGAAGACCAAGGGUUCCUGUCCAACGUUAAUCGGGGCAGGGUAAGUCGACCCCUAAGGCGAGGCCGAAAGGCGUAGUCGAUGGGAAACGGGUUAAUAUUCCCGUACUUCUUACAAUUGCGAUGGGGGGACGGAGAAGGCUAGGUGGGCCUGGCGACGGUUGUCCAGGUUCAAGUGCGUAGGCUGAGUCGGGUAGAGAAUACCAAGGCGCUUGAGAGAACUCGGGUGAAGGAACUAGGCAAAAUGGUACCGUAACUUCGGGAGAAGGUACGCUCUCGACGGUGAAGUCCCUCGCGGAUGGAGCUAUUGAGAGUCGCAGAUACCAGGUGGCUGCAACUGUUUAUUAAAAACACAGCACUGUGCAAAAUCGCAAGAUGACGUAUACGGUGUGACGCCUGCCCGGUGCCGGAAGGUUAAUUGAUGGGGUUAGACUUCGGUCGAAGCUCUUGAUCGAAGCCCCGGUAAACGGCGGCCGUAACUAUAACGGUCCUAAGGUAGCGAAAUUCCUUGUCGGGUAAGUUCCGACCUGCACGAAUGGCGUAAUGAUGGCCACGCUGUCUCCACCCGAGACUCAGUGAAAUUGAAAUCGCUGUGAAGAUGCAGUGUACCCGCGGCUAGA